Molecule: ribosomal RNA, 551 nt
Filed under: uncultured Alphaproteobacteria bacterium
Lineage: Bacteria; Pseudomonadati; Pseudomonadota; Alphaproteobacteria
Description: bacterial SSU rRNA
Rfam family: Bacterial small subunit ribosomal RNA
Source: RNAcentral
GGAGUACGGUCGCAAGACUAAAACUCAAAGAAAUAGACGGGGGCUCACACAAGUGGUGGAACAUGUGGUUUAAUUCGAAACAACGCGCAUAACCUUACCAGUUCUUGACAUAGAAAUUCAACCCACGGUAUUAUCAUCGUGAAAUUUUUUUCUACAGGUGUUGCAUGGCUGUCGUCAGCUCGUGUUGUGAAAUGUUGGAUUAAUUUCCUUAACGAGCGAAACCCUUGAAAUCUUUUUUUAUCUACGUAAUCAUGUGGGUAUCAUGAUUUGACUGCCAGUGAGAGACUGGAGGAAGGAAAGGAUGACGUCAAGUCCUCAUGACCCUUAUGAGCUGGGCUACACACGUGUUACAAUGACAAGCACAAUCAGAUGCAAAAAUGAAAGUUGGAGCAAAUCUCGCAAAUCUUGUCGCAAUUCAGAUUGUUUUCUGCAAUUCGGAAACAUGAAGAUGGAAUCACUAGUAAUCGUGGAUCAGCACGCCACGGUGAAUCUGUACCUGAGCCUUGUACUCCCCGCCCGUCACACUCUGGAAGUUGACUCGAUUGGAAGUA